RNAcentral lists this unclassified non-coding RNA (269 nucleotides) under plant metagenome. RNAcentral's name for it is "partial contains small subunit ribosomal RNA, internal transcribed spacer 1, and 5.8S ribosomal RNA". The record is from RNAcentral.
UUUCCGUAGGUGAACCUGCGGAAGGAUCAUUAAUGAGUUGUCAUGGGGUUCGAUGCUGGCAGCCAAUCUUUGGAUGCAUGUGCUUGCCCUAACAAUCAUCUUCCAAACACCUGUGCACAUUUUUGAGGGAGUCUUGAGUUGAUUGCCGCUCUUGGGUGAUUUUCUCACAUUCCCUUAAAUCAUUAUACGCUAUUAACAAUGUUGAACGUGCUCUGUGCCGCAAGGCUAUUAAUAUAAUACAACUUUUAACAACGGAUCUCUUGGCUCUC